RNAcentral lists this ribosomal RNA (447 nucleotides) under uncultured bacterium. RNAcentral describes it as "partial 16S ribosomal RNA". It matches the Rfam family "Bacterial small subunit ribosomal RNA", at positions 329 to 793 of the family's 1533-position model. The record is from RNAcentral.
GGCCAGACUCCUACGGGAGGCAGCAGUGGGGAAUAUUGCACAAUGGGGGAAACCCUGAUGCAGCGACGCCGCGUGAGCGAUGAAGUAUUUCGGUAUGUAAAGCUCUAUCAGCAGGGAAGAAAAUGACGGUACCUGACUAAGAAGCCCCGGCUAACUACGUGCCAGCAGCCGCGGUAAUACGUAGGGGGCAAGCGUUAUCCGGAUUUACUGGGUGUAAAGGGAGCGUAGACGGUGAAGCAAGUCUGAAGUGAAAGGCGGGGGCUCAACCCCCGGACUGCUUUGGAAACUGUUUGACUGGAGUGCAGGAGAGGUAAGUGGAAUUCCUAGUGUAGCGGUGAAAUGCGUAGAUAUUAGGAGGAACACCAGUGGCGAAGGCGGCUUGCUGGACGAUGACUGACGUUGAGGCUCGAAAGCGUGGGGAGCAAACAGGAUUAGAUACCCGGGUAU